AGAGUUUGAUCCUGGCUCAGAGCGAACGCUGGCGGUAUGCUUAACACAUGCAAGUCGAGCGAGAAAAUGGCUUCGGCCAUGAGUACAGCGGCGGACGGGUGAGUAAUACAUGGAUAAUCUGCCUUUAGGACUGGGACAACCCUGGGAAACUAGGGCUAAUACCGGAUAAGACCACAGAAUCUGCGGAUUCAGUGGUAAAAGGUGGCUUUCGGGCUAUCACCUAGAGAUGAGUCCAUGUCCCAUCAGGUUGUUGGUGAGGUAACGGCCCACCAAGCCUAAGACGGGUAGCCGGCCUUAGCGGGUGAUCGGCCACACGGGGACUGAGACACGGCCCAGACUCCUACGGGAGGCAGCAGUGGGGAAUAUUGGACAAUGGGCGCAAGCCUGAUCCAGCCAUGCCGCGUGGGUGAAGAAGGCCUUAGGGUUGUAAAUCCCUUUCAGCGGGGAAGAUAAUGACGGUACCCGCAGAAGAAGCCCCGGCUAACUCCGUGCCAGCAGCCGCGGUAAUACGGAGGGGGCUAGCGUUGUUCGGAAUUACUGGGCGUAAAGCGCGCGUAGGCGGACCUGCAAGUCGGGGGUGAAAGCCCGAGGCUCAACCUCGGAACUGCCUUCGAUACUGCGGGUCUUGAGUCCGGGAGAGGUGAGUGGAAUUCCUAGUGUAGAGGUGAAAUUCGUAGAUAUUAGGAAGAACACCAGUGG
This 699-nucleotide ribosomal RNA is filed under the name uncultured bacterium. Its description in RNAcentral is "bacterial SSU rRNA". It matches the Rfam family "Bacterial small subunit ribosomal RNA", at positions 8 to 715 of the family's 1533-position model. The record is from RNAcentral.